Molecule: ribosomal RNA, 253 nt
Filed under: uncultured Flavobacterium sp.
Lineage: Bacteria; Pseudomonadati; Bacteroidota; Flavobacteriia; Flavobacteriales; Flavobacteriaceae
Description: partial 16S ribosomal RNA
Rfam family: Bacterial small subunit ribosomal RNA
Source: RNAcentral
UACGGAGGAUCCAAGCGUUAUCCGGAAUCAUUGGGUUUAAAGGGUCCGUAGGCGGCCUUAUAAGUCAGUGGUGAAAGUUUUUGGCUUAACCAAAAAAUUGCCAUUGAUACUGUAGGGCUUGAAUGUCUGUGAAGUAACUAGAAUAUGUAGUGUAGCGGUGAAAUGCUUAGAUAUUACAUGGAAUACCAAUUGCGAAGGCAGGUUACUAACAGAUGAUUGACGCUGAUGGACGAAAGCGUGGGUAGCGAACAGG